GAAAUGCGAUAAGUAAUGUGAAUUGCAGAAUUCAGUGAAUCAUCGAAUCUUUGAACGCAUCUUGCGCUCCUUGGUAUUCCGAGGAGCAUGCCUGUUUGAGUGUCAUUUAACUUAUCUCAACUGCAUCAUUUUUGUUUGAUGUGGCUUGGAUGUGGGGGGAUUUUUGCAGGCUCAGAAAUUGAAGUCGGCUCCCCUGAAAUGCAUUAGUGGUAUCUGAGCUGCUAUUUGGUGUGAUAAAUUAUCUAUGCCUUUGGUAUGCUGGUCAGCACCGCUUAUAACAACAAAAUUAAAUUUGACAAAUUUGACCUCAAAUCAGGUAGGACUACCCGCUGAACUUAA
Molecule: unclassified non-coding RNA, 339 nt
Filed under: uncultured Inocybaceae
Lineage: Eukaryota; Fungi; Basidiomycota; Agaricomycetes; Agaricales
Description: sequence contains ITS1
Rfam family: 5.8S ribosomal RNA (bases 1-105)
Source: RNAcentral